GGCGAUGUAGCUCAGUUGGUCUAGAGCGGGCGUUUCAUACGCGCUAGGUCGGUGGUUCAAAUCCACCCAUCGCCACCC
RNAcentral lists this transfer RNA (78 nucleotides) under Deltaproteobacteria bacterium. RNAcentral describes it as "tRNA-Met". It matches the Rfam family "tRNA". From Rfam's summary of the family: Transfer RNA (tRNA) molecules are approximately 80 nucleotides in length. Their secondary structure includes four short double-helical elements and three loops (D, anti-codon, and T loops). The record is from RNAcentral. Lineage: Bacteria; Pseudomonadati; Myxococcota; Myxococcia.